This 460-nucleotide ribosomal RNA is filed under the name uncultured bacterium. Its description in RNAcentral is "partial 16S ribosomal RNA". It matches the Rfam family "Bacterial small subunit ribosomal RNA", at positions 338 to 795 of the family's 1533-position model. The record is from RNAcentral.
CCUACGGGUGGCUGCAGUGAGGAAUAUUGGUCAAUGGACGAGAGUCUGAACCAGCCAAGUAGCGUGAAGGAUGACUGCCCUAUGGGUUGUAAACUUCUUUUAUAUGGGAAUAAAAUGUUCUACGUGUGGGAUUUUGUAUGUACCUUAUGAAUAAGGAUCGGCUAACUCCGUGCCAGCAGCCGCGGUAAUACGGUGGAUCCGAGCGUUAUCCGGUUUUGUUGGGUUUAAAGGGUGCGUAGGGGGGUUUUUAAGUUAGUUGGGAAAGUGUGGGGCUCAAACGUUAAAUUGCAGUUAAUACUGGAAGUAUUGAGUACAGUAGAGGUAGGCGGAAUAAGUGAAGUAGCGGUGAAAUGCUUAGAGAUAACGUAGAACUCCGAUUGCGAAGGCAGCUCACUGGACUGCAACUGACGCUGAGGCACGAGAGUGUGGGUAGCGAACAGGAUUAGAUACCCGAGUAGUC